UCCUUUAACGAGGAUCAACUGGAGGGCAAGUCUGGUGCCAGCAGCCGCGGUAAUUCCAGCUCCAGUAGCGUAUAUUAAAGUUGUUGCAGUUAAAAAGCUCGUAGUUGGAUCUGGGUCGCAUGGCCACGUGUCGUCACUUGCAUUCUCGUUCUGAGCACUGCUUGUUCGGGUUUGUGAGUCGGUCUGGUGGCUGUGUAGCCUUUCUGCCGUCUCGGUUUUAACAGGUGCUGAUGGGCAAUCCCUCGGCAUGCUUCCAGAUGCCCUUAACCGGGUGUCGGGAGCGGACGGUACGUUUACUUUGAACAAAUUUGAGUGCUCAAAGCAGGCCUAUGCCUGAAAAUUCUUGCAUGGAAUAAUGGAAUAGGACUUCGGUUCUAUUUUGUUGGUUUUCGGAUCCGAAGUAAUGGUUAAGAGGGACAGACGGGGGCAUUUGUAUGGCGGUGUUAGAGGUGAA
Molecule: ribosomal RNA, 454 nt
Filed under: Microphallidae sp. A-30
Lineage: Eukaryota; Metazoa; Platyhelminthes; Trematoda; Plagiorchiida; Microphallidae
Also listed under: 1 other name
Description: SSU rRNA
Rfam family: Eukaryotic small subunit ribosomal RNA
Source: RNAcentral